UACGUAGGGUGCAAGCGUUGUCCGGAUUUAUUGGGCGUAAAGAGCUCGUAGGCGGUCUGUCGCGCGGAUGUGAAACCAGGGCUCAACCUGGGCCUGCAUUCGAUACGGGCAGACUAGAGCGUGGCAGGGGAGACUGGAAUUCCUGGUGUAGCGGUGAAAUGACGCAGAUAUCAGGAGGAACACCGGUGGUGUAAACGGCUUU
This 202-nucleotide ribosomal RNA is filed under the name uncultured bacterium. RNAcentral describes it as "partial 16S ribosomal RNA". It matches the Rfam family "Bacterial small subunit ribosomal RNA", at positions 524 to 728 of the family's 1533-position model. The record is from RNAcentral.